UACAGAGGGGGCAAGCGUUGUUCGGAAUUACUGGGCGUAAAGGGCGCGUAGGCGGCCUGCUAAGUCGAACGUGAAAUCCCCGGGCUCAACCCGGGAACUGCGUCCGAUACUGGUGGGCUUGAAUCCGGGAGAGGGAUGUGGAAUUCCAGGUGUAGCGGUGAAAUGCGUAGAUAUCUGGAGGAACACCGGUGGCGAAGGCGGCAUCCUGGACCGACACUGACGCUGAGGCGCGAAAGCUAGGGUAGCAAACGGG
This 253-nucleotide ribosomal RNA is filed under the name uncultured bacterium. RNAcentral describes it as "partial 16S ribosomal RNA". It matches the Rfam family "Bacterial small subunit ribosomal RNA", at positions 524 to 776 of the family's 1533-position model. The record is from RNAcentral.